AACGAACGCUGGCGGCAUGCCUAACACAUGCAAGUCGAACGAGACCUUCGGGUCUAGUGGCGCACGGGUGCGUAACGCGUGGGAAUCUGCCCUGGGGUGCGGAAUAACUCGGAGAAAUCCGUGCUAAUACCGCAUAAUGUCUUCGGACCAAAGAUUUAUCGCCCUGGGAUGAGCCCGCGUAGGAUUAGCUAGUUGGUGGGGUAAAGGCCUACCAAGGCGACGAUUCUUAGCUGGUCUGAGAGGAUGAUCAGCCACACUGGGACUGAGACACGGCCCAGACUCCUACGGGAGGCAGCAGUGGGGAAUAUUGGACAAUGGGCGAAAGCCUGAUCCAGCAAUGCCGCGUGAGUGAUGAAGGCCCUAGGGUUGUAAAGCUCUUUUACCCGGGAUGAUAAUGACAGUACCGGGAGAAUAAGCUCCGGCUAACUCCGUGCCAGCAGCCGCGGU
Molecule: ribosomal RNA, 447 nt
Filed under: uncultured bacterium
Lineage: Bacteria
Description: bacterial SSU rRNA
Rfam family: Bacterial small subunit ribosomal RNA
Source: RNAcentral